This 69-nucleotide transfer RNA is filed under the name Mesomys hispidus (spiny tree rat). RNAcentral's name for it is "tRNA-Tyr". It matches the Rfam family "tRNA". From Rfam's summary of the family: Transfer RNA (tRNA) molecules are approximately 80 nucleotides in length. Lineage: Eukaryota; Metazoa; Chordata; Mammalia; Rodentia; Echimyidae. The record is from RNAcentral.
GGUAGAGUGGCUGAAUUUAGGCAUUAGACUGUAAAUCUAAUUAUAAAGGUUGGACUCCUUUUUCUACCA